GCCCCUCGCUCCCCCUCCUCUGUGGUUCCUGCCGAGCCGGCUGCGGCGGCGAUAAGCGGAGACCCCGAGCUGCGGCGUCAGGUGCUGGCUCGGCCCUGGCCCUCAGGCUCCUGCGCGCAUGGCCCUGCCGGCCCUCUGCUGCCCCCUGCGGCCCUGCGGGGAAAGCUGCCCGUCCGGGCCUGGCUGAUCCCCUCUCUGUGCAGUGGCUCAAGUGGACUUAACGGCCAGGUUCUUGGUGGGGCUCAAGGUCAUUCCCCAGGCAUUGGCCUGUGCUGAGGUGACUGACUCCAGCCCCAGGGUUCCUGCUGAAACCCUGCCCCACCAUCUCCGGCCCCGUCAGUCAUUAAAGGUCUCACCUCUGCUGCUACCGUCACCAUCGGCCUUGGGCAGAUCAAGUAGAGGCAGUAACCGUGGUCUUCAAGAAAAUAUUCUCCCCCUGAGCGCUGAGAACAUCCAGCACCAAGAGGAGAGGAGAUGCCAAAGCGGGACUGAAAGAACUAAAGGCUCAGAUGGAGGAAUCUCUUCUGGGCCCUCCAAGAACAGCCUCUCAUUCCUCCUCCAAUGCCGUGGUUCUGGAGAUCCUUUCUUUUUCCACUGGAUAUCCCCAAGCCUGGGCCCAAAUCCUUCACCCACAACAGGACUGUAGCCUCCCAACUCUCCGCCCCACCCCCACCCCAGGCCUUCAUUUGCCAAACCCUGGUCUUGUGAGAGGGUCUGGAGAGUCCAAAGUAUAAAAAGCUCCCAAGAGAAAAGUAUGUGCAGGCCAGGUCUCCUCAUGGAGCCAUGGGGUCCCCCUGCUGCUGAGUAGGUUCUAGCCCUCCCAGGUCAUUCUAGCUGGAUACGUGGAGAUGUCAAACUUGAAUGGAGCGGGGAGGAUGAACAUAGAAAACACACUGAUUAGUACUUGAACAU
Molecule: long non-coding RNA, 912 nt
Filed under: Equus asinus (donkey)
Lineage: Eukaryota; Metazoa; Chordata; Mammalia; Perissodactyla; Equidae
Description: lncRNA (ENSEASG00005038645.1)
Source: RNAcentral